This 468-nucleotide ribosomal RNA is filed under the name uncultured bacterium. RNAcentral describes it as "partial 16S ribosomal RNA". It matches the Rfam family "Bacterial small subunit ribosomal RNA", at positions 28 to 507 of the family's 1533-position model. The record is from RNAcentral.
GACGAACGCUGGCGGCGUGCUUAACACAUGCAAGUCGAACGGAAAGGCCCUGCUUUUGUGGGGUGCUCGUGUGGCGAACGGGUGUGUAACACGUGUGUAACCUGCCCUUGACUGUGGGAUAACUUCAGGAAACUGGGGAUAAUACCGGAUAGGCGCUCCUUCUGCAUGGUGGGGGUUGGAAAGUUUCGGCGGUUGGGGAUGGACUCGCGGCUUAUCAUCUUGUUGGUGGGGUAGUGGCUUACCAAGGCUUUGACGGGUAGCCGGCCUGAGAGGGUGACCGGCCACAUUGGGACUGGGAUACGGCCCAGACUCCAACGGGAGGAAGCAGUGGGGAAUAUUGCACAAUGGGCGGAAGCCUGAGGCAGCAACGCCGCGUGCGGGAGGACGGCCUUCGGGUGGUAAACCGCUUUGGCCUGUGACGAAGCGUGAGUGACGGUAAUGGGUAAAGAAGCACCGGCUAACUACGUG